RNAcentral lists this ribosomal RNA (516 nucleotides) under uncultured bacterium. Its description in RNAcentral is "bacterial SSU rRNA". It matches the Rfam family "Bacterial small subunit ribosomal RNA", at positions 9 to 526 of the family's 1533-position model. The record is from RNAcentral.
GAGUUUGAUCCUGGCUCAGGAUGAACGCUGGCGGCGUGCUUAACACAUGCAAGUCGAACGGGAAACCUUUUAUUGAAGCUUCGGCAGAUUUAGAUUGUUUCUAGCGGCGGACGGGUGAGUAACGCGUGGGUAACCUGCCUCAUACAGGGGGAUAACAGUUGGAAACGGCUGCUAAUACCGCAUAAGCGCACAGUAUCGCAUGGUACGGUGUGAAAAACUCCGGUGGUAUGAGAUGGACCCGCGUCUGAUUAGCUAGUUGGAGGGGUAACGGCCCACCAAGGCGACGAUCAGUAGCCGGCCUGAGAGGGUGAACGGCCACAUUGGGACUGAGACACGGCCCAGACUCCUACGGGAGGCAGCAGUGGGGAAUAUUGCACAAUGGGGGAAACCCUGAUGCAGCGACGCCGCGUGAAGGAAGAAGUAUCUCGGUAUGUAAACUUCUAUCAGCAGGGAAGAAAAUGACGGUACCUGACUAAGAAGCCCCGGCUAACUACGUGCCAGCCGCCGCGGUAAUAC